AACGAACGCUGGCGGCAUGCCUAACACAUGCAAGUCGAACGAGACCUUCGGGUCUAGUGGCGCACGGGUGCGUAACGCGUGGGAACCUGCCCUUAGGUUCGGAAUAACUCCCCGAAAGGGGUGCUAAUACCGGAUAAUGUCUUCGGACCAAAGAUUUAUCGCCUUUGGAUGGGCCCGCGUUGGAUUAGCUAGUUGGUAGGGUAAAAGCCUACCAAGGCGACGAUCCAUAGCCGGUCUGAGAGGAUGAUCAGCCACACUGGGACUGAGACACGGCCCAGACUCCUACGGGAGGCAGCAGUGGGGAAUAUUGGACAAUGGGCGAAAGCCUGAUCCAGCAAUGCCGCGUGAGUGAUGAAGGCCUUAGGGUUGUAAAGCUCUCUUACCCGGGAUGAUAAUGACAGUACCGGGAGAAUAAGCUCCGGCUAACUCCGUG
This 433-nucleotide ribosomal RNA is filed under the name uncultured bacterium. Its description in RNAcentral is "partial 16S ribosomal RNA". It matches the Rfam family "Bacterial small subunit ribosomal RNA", at positions 29 to 507 of the family's 1533-position model. The record is from RNAcentral.